CGGGACGGGUGAGUAAUGUCUGGGAAACGUGCCUGAUGGAGGGGGGUAACUACUGGAAACGGUAGCUAAUACCGCAUAACGUCGCAAGACCAAAGAGGGGGACCGUUCGGGCCUCUUGCCAUCGGAUGUGCCCAGAUGGGAUUAGCUAGUAGGUGGGGUAACGGCUCACCUAGGCGACGAUCCCUAGCUGGUCUGAGAGGAUGGCCAGCCACACUGGAACUGAGACACGGUCCAG
This 235-nucleotide ribosomal RNA is filed under the name uncultured bacterium. RNAcentral describes it as "partial 16S ribosomal RNA". It matches the Rfam family "Bacterial small subunit ribosomal RNA", at positions 100 to 334 of the family's 1533-position model. The record is from RNAcentral.